Molecule: transfer RNA, 69 nt
Filed under: Sphaerodactylus townsendi
Lineage: Eukaryota; Metazoa; Chordata; Lepidosauria; Squamata; Sphaerodactylidae
Description: tRNA-Thr
Source: RNAcentral
GCCGUGCCUCAGUGGAAGAGCCUCUGUUCAGUGUAUAGGAGGUCCCAGUUUCAAACCCUGGCAUUUCCA